ACACAGGAUAACCCGCUAUUGGUCUUCUAGUGCAAGUGGCAGAAAUGACCGCUUAUACAGAUCCCCUAAGUUUGGAUGCUGAGCUAGCGCGGUAGUGUAUUGGUGAGUCCUUCUCCCUUAGCUACGGUCCCAGCCCUAAAUACAUGAUGUAAACAAAA
Molecule: unclassified non-coding RNA, 158 nt
Filed under: Dichorhavirus orchidaceae
Lineage: Riboviria; Orthornavirae; Negarnaviricota; Monjiviricetes; Mononegavirales; Rhabdoviridae
Description: Orchid fleck dichorhavirus miscellaneous RNA
Source: RNAcentral